GAUUUCUGGUGUGAUUGUUUCAAUCUUUUAACGGUUACGUUAAAACGUAUUGAAAUUCGAUCUACCAUCGUUUGCCUUGUUCUUUUUGAUUUAUUUCAAAAAGAUCAAAACAAGGUAAUCUUUUACUUUGAAAAAAUUAGAGUGUUUAAAGCAGGCUUUUGCUAUGAAUACAUUAGCAUGGAAUAAUAAUCUAGGACUUCGGUUCUAUUUUGUUGGUUUCUAUAACUGAAGUAAUGAUUGAUAGGGAUAGUUGGGGGUGCUAGUAUUGGCCGGCCAGAGGUGAAAUUCUUGGAUUCGGUCAAGACUAACUUAUGCGAAAGCAUU
Molecule: ribosomal RNA, 324 nt
Filed under: uncultured Glissomonadida
Lineage: Eukaryota; Cercozoa; Glissomonadida
Description: SSU rRNA
Rfam family: Eukaryotic small subunit ribosomal RNA (bases 120-324)
Source: RNAcentral